RNAcentral lists this ribosomal RNA (230 nucleotides) under uncultured bacterium. RNAcentral's name for it is "partial 16S ribosomal RNA". It matches the Rfam family "Bacterial small subunit ribosomal RNA", at positions 564 to 791 of the family's 1533-position model. The record is from RNAcentral.
AGCGUGCGCAGGCGGUUUUGUAAGUCUGUUGUGAAAUCCCCCGGGCUCAACCUGGGAAUGGCAAUGGAGACUGCAAGGCUAGAGUUUGGCAGAGGGGGGGUAGAAUUCCACGUGUAGCAGUGAAAUGCGUAGAUAUGUGGAGGAACACCGAUGGCGAAGGCAGCCCCCUGGGUCAAAACUGACGCUCAUGCACGAAAGCGUGGGGAGCAAACAGGAUUAGAUACCCUGGU